RNAcentral lists this ribosomal RNA (986 nucleotides) under Microbacterium maritypicum. RNAcentral describes it as "bacterial SSU rRNA". It matches the Rfam family "Bacterial small subunit ribosomal RNA", at positions 54 to 1050 of the family's 1533-position model. The record is from RNAcentral. Lineage: Bacteria; Bacillati; Actinomycetota; Actinomycetes; Micrococcales; Microbacteriaceae.
CAUGCAAGUCGAACGGUGAACACGGAGCUUGCUCUGUGGGAUCAGUGGCGAACGGGUGAGUAACACGUGAGCAACCUGCCCCUGACUCUGGGAUAAGCGCUGGAAACGGCGUCUAAUACUGGAUAUGUGACGUGAUCGCAUGGUCUGCGUCUGGAAAGAAUUUCGGUUGGGGAUGGGCUCGCGGCCUAUCAGCUUGUUGGUGAGGUAAUGGCUCACCAAGGCGUCGACGGGUAGCCGGCCUGAGAGGGUGACCGGCCACACUGGGACUGAGACACGGCCCAGACUCCUACGGGAGGCAGCAGUGGGGAAUAUUGCACAAUGGGCGCAAGCCUGAUGCAGCAACGCCGCGUGAGGGAUGACGGCCUUCGGGUUGUAAACCUCUUUUAGCAGGGAAGAAGCGAAAGUGACGGUACCUGCAGAAAAAGCGCCGGCUAACUACGUGCCAGCAGCCGCGGUAAUACGUAGGGCGCAAGCGUUAUCCGGAAUUAUUGGGCGUAAAGAGCUCGUAGGCGGUUUGUCGCGUCUGCUGUGAAAUCCGGAGGCUCAACCUCCGGCCUGCAGUGGGUACGGGCAGACUAGAGUGCGGUAGGGGAGAUUGGAAUUCCUGGUGUAGCGGUGGAAUGCGCAGAUAUCAGGAGGAACACCGAUGGCGAAGGCAGAUCUCUGGGCCGUAACUGACGCUGAGGAGCGAAAGGGUGGGGAGCAAACAGGCUUAGAUACCCUGGUAGUCCACCCCGUAAACGUUGGGAACUAGUUGUGGGGUCCAUUCCACGGAUUCCGUGACGCAGCUAACGCAUUAAGUUCCCCGCCUGGGGAGUACGGCCGCAAGGCUAAAACUCAAAGGAAUUGACGGGGACCCGCACAAGCGGCGGAGCAUGCGGAUUAAUUCGAUGCAACGCGAAGAACCUUACCAAGGCUUGACAUAUACGAGAACGGGCCAGAAAUGGUCAACUCUUUGGACACUCGUAAACAGGUGGUGCAUGGUU